RNAcentral lists this ribosomal RNA (465 nucleotides) under uncultured bacterium. RNAcentral describes it as "partial 16S ribosomal RNA". It matches the Rfam family "Bacterial small subunit ribosomal RNA", at positions 28 to 507 of the family's 1533-position model. The record is from RNAcentral.
GACGAACGCUGGCGGCGUGCUUAACACAUGCGAGUCGUACGGUAAGGCCCUUUCGGGGGUACACGAGUGGCGAACGGGCGAGUAACACGUGAGUAACCUGCCCACAACUUUGGGAUAACGCUAGGAAACUGGUGCUAAUACUGGAUAUGUGCUCCUGCUGCAUGGUGGGGGUUGGAAAGCUCCGGCGGUUGUGGAUGGACUCGCGGCCUAUCAGCUUGUUGGUGGGGUAGUGGCCUACCAAGGCGGCGACGGGUAGCCGGCCUGAGAGGGUGACCGGCCACAUUGGGACUGAGAUACGGCCCAGACUCCUACGGGAGGCAGCAGUGGGGAAUAUUGCACAAUGGGCGCAAGCCUGAUGCAGCAACGCCGCGUGCGGGAUGACGGCCUUCGGGUUGUAAACCGCUUUCAGCAGGGACGAAGCUUUUUGUGACGGUACCUGCAGAAGAAGCACCGGCUAACUACGUG